CUGUUUCAUUCUGAACACAUUUGUGUGGGAGAUAUUCUCAAAUGACAUGUCUUGAACUCAAAUUUCUAAGUCGAAUAUCUCAAGUUUAGAUUUGACUCUUCAACAAUUUUAUUCAUAAUUUUACACUGACUUGAAUUUUCACUCAACAGAAACAAAAAAACUGUUUAAAGGGACAGAAAACAGUCUGGAGAAACGACCUGUCAAAGAAGGAAAGAAUCUACAAGAUUGGCAUCAGGUGAAAGGAUUCAAAGAGAACAUUACUAUGGAUGAAAACACUGCUCAUGGUACAAUUAGAGUGACUCAAGACGGAAAGACAGCUCAUUACAUCAAAGAAAAAGAAACUAUGAAAUCUUCCGAUCAAAGGCAUCCUCAUGUAUUGGCUAAUCAGAGUUUCGGAUCAGAACAACACUACUGGGAAGUUAAGGUGAGGGAUGAAACCGUGGAUAAAGCAGUGGGUGACUGUGGGCAACUGUCAUGGUAUGUUGGUGUGGCCAGAGAUAAUGCUAAGAGAACAUCUACAGUCGCUGUAACACCUCUUCAUGGAUUCUGAACUCUCUUUUAUGAAGAAGGAAAGGGUUUCCAUGUCAAUACUGACCCUCCAACCUCAGUACAUGUGAGCAAAGAUCUCUCUAUGGUAGGAGUGUUUCUAGACUGUGACAAUCAAUCUCUGUCUUUUUAUAAUGUUGAUACAGAGUCACAUAUCUACACUUUUUGGAAUGUGGUGACAUCACACAAGUUUACUCCUUUGUUCAGCCCUGGACAACAUGACCCACACCCAAUAACAAUAUUGAAUGAAAACUAAGAGAUGAGGGUUAAAACAUGUCACAUGAGACAUGUCCAACAAUACUGCUCUUCAAUAGAACAGACAUGUUGAAGACAGGAACACGUGGUCAGAGAUAUAAUUGUAUACCUGAGUGUUAUUUAGUGAUGUCCAGGUGUAUAUGGUUUGUCGUCUGAGGCACAAGGGUAAUCAAAACAACUACAAUUGUUCAACUUGUUACUACUUGUAGUGAGAUUUUUGAUGUACACUGUAAUUCAACUGUAAUAAAAGCUAGCA
Salvelinus namaycush (lake trout) is the source of this 1057-nucleotide long non-coding RNA. RefSeq lists it as uncharacterized. The record is from RefSeq and is a predicted model, not a curated record. The transcript is spliced from 4 exons. NCBI's taxonomy places the organism in Eukaryota, Metazoa, Chordata, Actinopteri, Salmoniformes, Salmonidae.